AGAGUUUGAUCCUGGCUCAGGACGAACGCUGGCGGCGUGCCUAACACAUGCAAGUCGAACGAAGCUGCAGGGAAUGAGACUUCGGUCAAAGGAACUGUAGACUUAGUGGCGGACGGGUGAGUAACGCGUGAGCAACCUGCCUUUCAGAGGGGGAUAACGUUUGGAAACGAACGCUAAUACCGCAUAACAUAUCGGAACCGCAUGAUUCUGAUAUCAAAGGAGCAAUCCGCUGAAAGAUGGGCUCGCGUCUGAUUAGCUAGUUGGUGAGGUAACGGCUCACCAAGGCGACGAUCAGUAGCCGGACUGAGAGGUUGAUCGGCCACAUUGGGACUGAGACACGGCCCAGACUCCUACGGGAGGCAGCAGUGGGGGAUAUUGCACAAUGGGCGCAAGCCUGAUGCAGCAACGCCGCGUGAGGGAAGACGGUUUUCGGAUUGUAAACCUCUGUCUUUGGUGAAGAAGAAAGUGACGGUAGCCAAGGAGGAAGCCACGGCUAACUACGUGCCAGCAGCCGCGGUAAUACGUAGGUGGCAAGCGUUGUCCGGAUUUACUGGGUGUAAAGGGAGCGCAGGCGGGACUGCAAGUUGGAUGUGAAAUACCGUAGCUUAACUACGGAGCUGCAUCCAAAACUGUAGUUCUUGAGUGAAGUAGAGGUAAGCGGAAUUCCGAGUGUAGCGGUGAAAUGCGUAGAUAUUCGGAGGAACACCAGUGGCGAAGGCGGCUUACUGGGCUUUAACUGACGCUGAGGCUCGAAAGUGUGGGGAGCAAACAGGAUUAGAUACCCUGGUAGUCCACGCUGUAAACGAUGAAUACUAGGUGUGGGAGGACUGACCCCUUCCGUGCCGCAGUUAACACAAUAAGUAUUCCACCUGGGGAGUACGACCGCAAGGUUGAAACUCAAAGGAAUUGACGGGGGCCCGCACAAGCAGUGGAUUAUGUGGUUUAAUUCGACGCAACGCGAAGAACCUUACCAGGAUUUGACAUCCCACUAACGAGGUAGAGAUACAUUAGGUGCCCUUCGGGGAAAGUGGAGACAGGUGGUGCAUGGCUGUCGUCAGCUCGUGUCGUGAGACGUCGGGUUAAGUCCCUUAACGAGCGAAACCCCUGUCGUUAGUUGCCAUCAUUUGGUUGGGCACUCUAACGAGACUGCCUAAGUUAAUGCGGAGGAAGGCGGGGACGACGUCAAGUCCUCAUGGCCCUUAUGCUUGGGGCUGCACACGUCCUACAAUGGAUUCCACAAAGGGAAGCGAAGUCGCGAGACGGAGCGAAUCCCAAAAAAGGAUCCUCAGUUCGGAUUGUAGUCUGCAACUCGACUACAUGAAGCCGGAAUCGCUAGUAAUCGCGGGUCAGCAUACCGCGGUGAAUAUGUUCCUGAGCCUUGUACUCACCGCCCGUCA
This 1397-nucleotide ribosomal RNA is filed under the name uncultured bacterium. RNAcentral describes it as "partial 16S ribosomal RNA". It matches the Rfam family "Bacterial small subunit ribosomal RNA". The record is from RNAcentral.